UUCUUACUCCCUCCGUUCCGAAUUACUUGUCACGAGUAUGGAUGUAUCUAGAUGUAUUUUAGUUCUAGAUACAUCCAUUUCUACGACGAGUAAUUUGGAACGGAGGGAGUAUUUG
Non-coding RNA from Triticum aestivum (bread wheat), 115 nucleotides. NCBI's taxonomy places the organism in Eukaryota, Viridiplantae, Streptophyta, Magnoliopsida, Poales, Poaceae. The record is from Rfam.